CGGGGUGAGUAAUGCUUGGGAAUCUAGCUUAUGGAGGGGGAUAACUACGGGAAACUGUAGCUAAUACCGCGUAGUAUCGAGAGAUGAAAGUGUGGGACCUUCGGGCCACAUGCCAUAGGAUGAGCCCAAGUGGGAUUAGGUAGUUGGUGAGGUAAAGGCUCACCAAGCCGACGAUCUCUAGCUGGUCUGAGAGGGUGACCAGCCACACUGGGACUGAGACACGGCCCAG
This 229-nucleotide ribosomal RNA is filed under the name uncultured bacterium. RNAcentral's name for it is "partial 16S ribosomal RNA". It matches the Rfam family "Bacterial small subunit ribosomal RNA", at positions 104 to 334 of the family's 1533-position model. The record is from RNAcentral.